This 21-nucleotide non-coding RNA is filed under the name Caenorhabditis elegans. The record is from RNAcentral. Lineage: Eukaryota; Metazoa; Nematoda; Chromadorea; Rhabditida; Rhabditidae.
UUUGUAAUACAUAGUUGAGAG